UACAGAGACUGCAAGCGUUAUUCGGAUUCACUGGGCGUAAAGGGUGCGCAGGCGGCCAAGUGUGUGAGGCGUGGAAGCCCGGGGCUUAACCCCGGAAUUGCACCUCAAACUACAUGGCUAGAGCAUUGGAGAGGGUAGCAGAAUUCAUGGUGUAGCAGUGAAAUGCGUAGAUAUCAUGAGGAAUACCAGAGGCGAAGGCGGCUACCUGGACAAUUGCUGACGCUCAGGCACGAAAGCGUGGGGAGCAAAAGGG
RNAcentral lists this ribosomal RNA (253 nucleotides) under uncultured bacterium. Its description in RNAcentral is "partial 16S ribosomal RNA". It matches the Rfam family "Bacterial small subunit ribosomal RNA", at positions 524 to 776 of the family's 1533-position model. The record is from RNAcentral.